This 527-nucleotide small RNA is filed under the name Pan troglodytes (chimpanzee). RNAcentral describes it as "processed transcript". Lineage: Eukaryota; Metazoa; Chordata; Mammalia; Primates; Hominidae. The record is from RNAcentral.
ACAGAACUGCUAAUAUAGAGGAACCCGAUGAAUUCAGGAUGACCUAGUCGCUAUUUUUUGAGGCAUAUAUCUAUAAUUGGAUCUAAUUUCGAGAACUCAAUUUCCUGUAUCUACUGAGUCUCAAAAACCCCGGCAGAAAAAAGCUCCAGAGUUUCCUAUUUUGGAGAAGCAGAACUGGUUGAUUCAUCUUCAUUAUAUCCGGAAAGAUUAUGAAGCCUGCAAGGCUGUUAUCAAAGAACAGCUUCAGGAGACUCAGGGAUUAUGUGAAUAUGCUAUCUAUGUCCAAGCAUUGAUAUUUCGCCUAGAAGGAAAUAUCCAAGAAUCCCUAGAACUCUUCCAGACAUGUGCAGUUCUUAGUCCUCAGAGUGCUGAUAACCUCAAGCAGGUGGCCAGAUCUUUAUUUCUUUUGGGAAAACAUAAAGCUGCCAUUGAAGUAUAUAAUGAAGCAGCUAAACUCAACCAGAAAGAUUGGGAGAUCAGCCAUAACCUAGGAGUUUGCUACAUAUACCUGAAGCAGUUCAACAAGG